GACGAACGCUGGCGGCGUGCUUAACACAUGCAAGUCGAACGGAAAGGCCCUGCUUUUGUGGGGUGCUCGAGUGGCGAACGGGUGAGUAACACGUGAGUAACCUGCCCUUGACUUUGGGAUAACUUCAGGAAACUGGGGCUAAUACCGGAUAGGAGCUCCUGCUGCAUGGUGGGGGUUGGAAAGUUUCGGCGGUUGGGGAUGGACUCGCGGCUUAUCAGCUUGUUGGUGGGGUAGUGGCUUACCAAGGCUUUGACGGGUAGCCGGCCUGAGAGGGUGACCGGCCACAUUGGGACUUAGAUACGGCCCAGACUCCUACGGGAGGCAGAAGUGGGGAAUAUUGCACAAUGGGCGGAAGCCUGAUGCAGCAACGCCGCGUGCGGGAUGACGGCCUUCGGGUUGUAAACCGCUUUCGCCUGUGACGAAGCGUGAGUGACGGUAAUGGGUAAAGAAGCACCGGCUAACUACGUG
RNAcentral lists this ribosomal RNA (468 nucleotides) under uncultured bacterium. RNAcentral's name for it is "partial 16S ribosomal RNA". It matches the Rfam family "Bacterial small subunit ribosomal RNA", at positions 28 to 507 of the family's 1533-position model. The record is from RNAcentral.